Molecule: ribosomal RNA, 519 nt
Filed under: Stenodactylus doriae
Lineage: Eukaryota; Metazoa; Chordata; Lepidosauria; Squamata; Gekkonidae
Description: partial 16S ribosomal RNA
Rfam family: Bacterial large subunit ribosomal RNA
Source: RNAcentral
CCACCAAGUAUUAAAGGUCCCGCCUGCCCAGUGAUACUAUAUUCAACGGCCGCGGUAUCCUCACCGUGCAAAGGUAGCGUAAUCACUUGCCCCCUAAUUAGGGGCCUGUAUGAACGGCCAACUGAGGGCCUGCCUGUCUCUUGCAGCACGAUAAUGAAACUGAUCUCCUAGUACAAAAGCUAGAAUACCCCCAUAAGACGAGAAGACCCUGUGGAGCUUACAAAUACUAUUGCUACGUAGCCCCCCCCCAACCUAACACAAACACUAGCAAUACUUUUUAGUUGGGGCAACUAUGGAGUAAAACCAAACCUCCAAGUAACAACUAACCCUUACCCAAGGCUCACCAGCCAAACCCAAAAAGACCCAGCACAGCUGAUCACCGAACCAAGUUACCCCAGGGAUAACAGCGCCAUCCUCUUCCAGAGCCCAUAUCGCCAAGAGGGUUUACGACCUCGAUGUUGGAUCAGGACACCCCAGUGGCGCAGCCGCUACUAAAGGUCCGUUUGUUCAACGGCUAAC